This 492-nucleotide ribosomal RNA is filed under the name uncultured bacterium. RNAcentral's name for it is "partial 16S ribosomal RNA". It matches the Rfam family "Bacterial small subunit ribosomal RNA", at positions 29 to 507 of the family's 1533-position model. The record is from RNAcentral.
AGUGAACGCUGGCGGUAGGCCUAACACAUGCAAGUCGAACGGCAGCACAGUAAGAGCUUGCUCUUACGGGUGGCGAGUGGCGGACGGGUGAGGAAUACAUCGGAAUCUACUUUUUCGUGGGGGAUAACGUAGGGAAACUUACGCUAAUACCGCAUACGACCUACGGGUGAAAGCAGGGGAUCUUCGGACCUUGCGCGAUUGAAUGAGCCGAUGUCGGAUUAGUUAGUUGGCGGGGUAAAGGCCCACCAAGGCGACGAUCCGUAGCUGGUCUGAGAGGGUGGUCACACACACGGGAACAGAGGCACGGCCCAGACUCCGAGAGUGAGCCGCGGUGGGGAAUAUUGGGCGAUGGAGGAGAGCCGGAUCCAGCCAUACCGCGGGAGGGAUGAAGGCCUUCGGGUUGUAGAGCCCUUUUGUUGGGAGAGAAAAACAGCAGGUUAAUACCCCACUGUUCUGACGGUACCCAAAGAAUAAGCACCGGCUAACUUCGUG